This 460-nucleotide ribosomal RNA is filed under the name uncultured bacterium. Its description in RNAcentral is "partial 16S ribosomal RNA". It matches the Rfam family "Bacterial small subunit ribosomal RNA", at positions 338 to 795 of the family's 1533-position model. The record is from RNAcentral.
CCUACGGGUGGCAGCAGUGAGGAAUAUUGGUCAAUGGCCGGAAGGCUGAACCAGCCAUGCCGCGUGAAGGUCAGUGCCCUAUGGGCGUUAAACUUCUUUUGUGCGGGAGCAAUAAUGGUCACGUGUGGCCAGACGAGAGUACCGUACGAAUAAGCAUCGGCUAACUCCGUGCCAGCAGCCGCGGGAAUACGGGGGAUGCAAGCGUUAUCCGGAUUUAUUGGGUUUAAAGGGUGCGUAGGCUGUGAGGUAAGUCAGCGGUGAAAUGCCCCCGGUCAACGGGGUGAAGUGCCAUUGAUACUGCCUUGCUGGAAUGCGGAUGCCGUGGGAGGAAUGUGUGGUGUAGCGGUGAAAUGCAUAGAUAUCACACAGAACACCGAUUGCGAAGGCAUCUCACGAAUCUAUAUCUGACGUUGAGGCACGAAAGCGUGGGGAGCAAACAGGAUUAGAUACCCGAGUAAUC